GACGUAGGGGGCCAGCGUUGUUCGGAAUUACUGGGUGUAAAGGGUUCGUAGGCGGUGUGGCAAGUCGGGAGUGAAAUCUCUGGGCUCAACCCAGAGUCUGCUUCCGAAACUGCUGUGCUUGAGUGUGGGAGAGGCGCGUGGAAUUCCACGUGUAGCGGUGAAAUGCGUAGAGAUGUGGAGGAACACCAGUGGCGAAGGCGACUCUUUGGUCUGUAACUGACGCUGAGGCGCGAAAGCGUGGGGAGCAAACAGG
Molecule: ribosomal RNA, 253 nt
Filed under: uncultured bacterium
Lineage: Bacteria
Description: partial 16S ribosomal RNA
Rfam family: Bacterial small subunit ribosomal RNA
Source: RNAcentral